This 415-nucleotide ribosomal RNA is filed under the name Pseudomonas sp. H1-19-l. RNAcentral's name for it is "bacterial SSU rRNA". It matches the Rfam family "Bacterial small subunit ribosomal RNA", at positions 236 to 643 of the family's 1533-position model. The record is from RNAcentral. Lineage: Bacteria; Pseudomonadati; Pseudomonadota; Gammaproteobacteria; Pseudomonadales; Pseudomonadaceae. RNAcentral also lists the same sequence under 10 other names.
UCGGAUUAGCUAGUUGGUGAGGUAAUGGCUCACCAAGGCGACGAUCCGUAACUGGUCUGAGAGGAUGAUCAGUCACACUGGAACUGAGACACGGUCCAGACUCCUACGGGAGGCAGCAGUGGGGAAUAUUGGACAAUGGGCGAAAGCCUGAUCCAGCCAUGCCGCGUGUGUGAAGAAGGUCUUCGGAUUGUAAAGCACUUUAAGUUGGGAGGAAGGGCAGUAAGCGAAUACCUUGCUGUUUUGACGUUACCGACAGAAUAAGCACCGGCUAACUCUGUGCCAGCAGCCGCGGUAAUACAGAGGGUGCAAGCGUUAAUCGGAAUUACUGGGCGUAAAGCGCGCGUAGGUGGUUUGUUAAGUUGAAUGUGAAAUCCCCGGGCUCAACCUGGGAACUGCAUCCAAAACUGGCAAGCUA